UUCCCAAGAUGCAAAUGCAAAGCAACGUGAGAGGAACUUCCGUGUUGAGAAGGAUAUCAUCACAUAUAUCCAUAUUUUAUACUGUUAACCACAUUGUGCUUAGCAGUAACUUUGUUUUGUAUACGUAGAGCUAUAGUAUAGAUCACUAUUGGAUUGUAUGGACGAAAGAGCUUAUUUUAAUUGCUGAUAAUAGACAAACAUCGGUAUGGCAGACGGUGCCAGUGGUAACGCGGUGAAUCUUCCUCCCGGGGAUCCGCAGCUUAUUGGUCUCAUCGUAGAACAUCUGAAGAACCGAGGCCUUUUUGACGAGUUCCGCAGAGACUGUCUGGCAGAUGUGGAUACCAAGCCUGCCUACCAGAAUCUGCGACAAAAAGUAGACAACUUCGUCUCGACUCAUUUGAGCACUCAAGAUUGGAACCCAUCAAUCAACAAAAACCAAGUGCGAAAUGGACUAAGGCAAAGUGUACUUCAAUCAGGCAUGCUGGAGUCUGGAGUGGACAGAAUCAUCACACAGGUGGUGGAUCCAAAGUUGAAUCACACCUUCAGGCCCCACAUUGAGGAUGCCAUUCAUGACUUCUUGUCUGCUGAGAAGAAGGAGGAGGGUCCAUCCAACACUCAGUUGGACACAGAGCAGCAGGAAGCUGCAAGCCACACUGGUCCCAAAACACCUUAAGGUUACAUCUUUUUUUAUGAAAGUAGAAUUUUCUAGAACUCCAUCAGGCUGGAUGAGGGCCUCCAACUUUAAAGAUGUUUUGAGGGUGUUGUGUAGCAAGGGCUUUGUAAAAGGUUUGCACAACUCCUGUUACUUCUUCGUGUGAAGUAACCACAUUAUGGGGUUUAGCUGUCGUGAUGCUGGAUGUGAACAACUAUGAACUAAUGCACCCAACUACUAAGUCUGAGAAAUUGUGAAAAUGACACAUUAUGGUGUUUGGCAGGAGGCUAAUGUGAAAUCUAUUUCUUUGAGGACAAAAAGGUACUCAUCGUUUUUUUUUUGUGGUUAUUUAAUUAAAAGAAUGUUCCCUUUUGUAUUUCUUAAAAGCCAAAAGUAGCCUUAGUUUUUUUAGGGGGUAGAUCAGCUUGACCGUUAAAAUAUUUUCAAAUGAUCACAUAGCAUGUCUUGCAUCAUCUCUAAUUCACAUUUGUAUAAAACAACGUUCCCUCCAGAAAAUGGCCACCAAUGUAUAGUGACAGAAGAGAUGUUCUGAUGGUUUUGUUUCUUCGUGUCAGUCUCAAUGCUCCAAUGAUGAGCGUACUCUUUGAAGAAAGCUUUCUAUAUAACAUCUGUAUAUUUAAUUUAAAAUGUCUUGUUUUAUAUAUCAGAUCAUUGACCCAACACCAUGUUAUUAGUACGUUAAAGAACUGACUUGAAUUGUAUACCUCUGUCAAAACAUUUGACCUUAAAUAAAACUGAUGUUUAAUGUUAGUCUUUGUGUCAUGCACAUUCUUUUUGUAGAUAGCUCAUUAACAAAGUAUUUUUUUUUUAAUUCUGACGCUGGUGAAUAUUCUUAAUGUUUAUAUCCAAUAAAUCAAUGCUUUGUUAGAAAUCCUUUCAUUGCCCCAUGAUGUUUUAAACUGGGUCAGUGGAAAGUGUCCUGCACUGUUUUUGUCAGACGUUGUCUCUGAGCUUGUCUUACAUUAAAUGAUUGAAAAACUC
RNA transcript from Esox lucius (northern pike), 1654 nucleotides. It is a transcript of the gene named biorientation of chromosomes in cell division 1, with no coding region annotated. The record is from RefSeq and is a predicted model, not a curated record. Lineage: Eukaryota; Metazoa; Chordata; Actinopteri; Esociformes; Esocidae. The transcript is spliced from 5 exons.